This 2085-nucleotide unclassified non-coding RNA is filed under the name Ooceraea biroi (clonal raider ant). RNAcentral's name for it is "odorant receptor 43a-like, transcript variant X3". The record is from RNAcentral. Lineage: Eukaryota; Metazoa; Arthropoda; Insecta; Hymenoptera; Formicidae.
UUGUAUAUACAGUUAUCUAUAAAUUCGGCCUAAGAAAUAUAAGAAACUCGUUACAAUAUUACUUCACUUUUUAUUAUUAAUUAUUACCAUUAGAAUUGCAUAAAUUAAUAUAGUCGCGAAUACAUUAUUUCUAUUCUUGCGUUUCGGCGCAACAAUAAUAUAUAAGUGCAGCCCUUUACUCUACAUUAAUAUUAUCCCUGAAACGGAAAGUACUUUAGACUCGUAUUUUUUCCCCAACGAGUUGCGAUGAACUUUAUGUCAUAACUUCGACAACAAAAGGGGGUUCUUAUUUUCUUCCAAUAUUGAACAUUGUGUCUACCUUGUGUAAUUGCAACUUUUCCCCAUGAGUCUGAUGUGAGUGUAUGUACCUGUGUGCGUAUGUGACAUCGCUUGUCUACCGUCAGUUUUAUCGGGGCAGUAGAGCAGUUCAAAGCCUUAUAGGUCUCGAUAUGAAUAUUAUCAAUUUUCCAGGAUAUGCAGAUCAGCUCGAUCUGCUUCCAGAUUUCGAGUGGGCAGUUCAACUGAAUCGUUUCAGUCUGAAACUCUUAGGUCUUUGGCCAGAGGAAGCCGCCAGUUUACAAGACAGAUUGAAUUCAAAUUUACGACUGUUUGGAGUCUUCAUUCUCAUCAACGGUGUUUGCACCGUGCCGUCGUUGCACUUACUAUUGAAAAUUUGGGGUGAUAUAAAUGCGAUGAUGGACAACUUUGUAUUCACCUUACCUUUAUUGACGGUAUCCGUGAAAUUGUUAAUUUUGUGGUGGAAACGAGAAGCAUUAUCUUCAUUGAUGACAAUGAUCGCUCAUGACUGGAUCAAGUCGAAGUCCAAAGAUGAGCGAAACGUUAUGAUACGUUGCGCGCAAAACGCCCGACUAAUUAUCACAUUCAGCUACAUUGUAAUCUUUUGCUCGUUAAUAAUCCUGAUCAUUUCUACCGCGUUCGGCUAUACCGUGACACACGUAACGAAUAUCACAGACACGAAGAAGCCGCUACCACUGCAGGGAUAUUACAUUUAUAAUACGUCCGUGAGCCCGCAGUUUGAGCUGACGUUUUUCGGUCAGUGCAUUAGCUUGACGAUGGUCGCACUUUCUUACACGAGCACCGACAAUUUCCUUGGAUUGCUCGUCUUUCAUAUUUGCGGCCAACUAGAGAAUCUGACGAGCCGUCUGUACCAAAUGCGCGAAUCCAAGGACUUUGCUAUGGCGCUGAGAGUCAACGUAACAGAUCAUACACGUCUUAUCAGAUCUGUUGCAAUUAUCGAAGAUGCUUUUACAUUAAUGCUGCUAUUCUUAUUUCUGUACUUCGGAAGUAUGGUCUGUACUUAUGGAUUUCUGGUCGUUACAGUAAUCAUCGAGGAGAAAAAUGUAUCUAUCAAGAAAACAAUCUUUCUGAUUAUGGUUAUUUGUACGGCGUUUACUCAUAUGUGUGUCUACUGCGCUGUUGGUGAACUAUUAAUCAUAAAAUAUGAAGAGGUUUACAAUGCGGUGUAUGAGUUCGAAUGGUAUACUCUGGAUACGAAGAAGGCAAAGAAUUUCAUUUUUUUAUUAGUUCGUAUGAACAAGCCGCUUUAUAUUACAGCUGGGAAAAUGUUACCUAUGACAAUGGCCACGUUCUGUAGCAUAUUAAAAUCAUCGGGUGGAUAUAUAUCAGUCUUACUCGCAAAUCAAAAUUAAGAAAAAUCUGAUAUCUACAGCAACACAAAUUUAAUAAUAAUAGAAUAAAAUGUGUAUAUUCUUUUUAAUAAUAAGGUGUGAUAAAUAUUCAGAGAAAAAGAUGUUAAUCAACAUAUGUGGCAAACGAUAAGAAAUUGUAAUGAAUCGAUGUCGAUGUUUGAUAGUAAUACCGUACAUGACACCAAAUUUAUAAAAUACAUGACUGAUGAGAAUGAUAGUCACUUGGUUAAACUAUGGAAUGAUAUGGAUGUUACCACGUCGGAUGACAAAUACACACUGGUGAUCGUGGUACUUGUUGCAUGUUUCUCGUUAACGGUUCGUCUAUAUUCAGACAUACGAUUGUACAAGCAUGCGAUUGUACUUGAGCAUAAUAAAGAGAAAAGUUUUUAGAAGUUACCAUCACGAGCGAAAAAAA